GAUGAACGCUGGCGGCGUGCCUAAUACAUGCAAGUCGAGCGAACAGACGAGGAGCUUGCUCCUCUGACGUUAGCGGCGGACGAGUGAGUAACACGUGGAUAACCUACCUAUAAGACUGGGAUAACUUCGGGAAACCGGAGCUAAUACCGGAUAAUAUAUUGAACCGCAUGGUUCAAUAGUGAAAGACGGUUUUGCUGUCACUUAUAGAUGGACCCGCGCCGCAUUAGCUAGUUGGUAAGGUAACGGCUUACCAAGGCAACGAUGCGUAGCCGACCUGAGAGGGUGAUCGGCCACACUGGAACUGAGACACGGUCCAGACUCCUACGGGAGGCAGCAGUAGGGAAUCUUCCGCAAUGGGCGAAAGCCUGACGGAGCAACGCCGCGUGAGUGAUGAAGGUCUUCGGAUCGUAAAACUCUGUUAUUAGGGAAGAACAAAUGUGUAAGUAACUAUGCACGUCUUGACGGUACCUAAUCAGAAAGCCACGGCUAACUACGUG
This 497-nucleotide ribosomal RNA is filed under the name uncultured bacterium. Its description in RNAcentral is "partial 16S ribosomal RNA". It matches the Rfam family "Bacterial small subunit ribosomal RNA", at positions 28 to 507 of the family's 1533-position model. The record is from RNAcentral.